CCUACGGGUGGCAGCAGUGAGGAAUAUUGGUCAAUGGGCGCGAGCCUGAACCAGCCAAGCAGCGUGAAGGAUGACUGCCCUACGGGUUGUAAACUUCUUUUAUAAAGGAAUAAAGUGAGGCACGCGUGCCUUUUUGUAUGUACUUUAUGAAUACGCAUCGGCUAACUCCGUGCCAGCAGCCGCGGUAAUACGGAGGAGACUGGCGUUAUCCGGAUUUAUUGGGGUUAAAGGGAGCGUAGAUGGGUUGUUAAGUCAGUUGUGAAAGUUUGGGGCUCAACCGUAAAAUUGCAAUUGAUACUGGCAGGCUGGAGUACAGGUGGGGUAGGCGGAAUUCGUGGUGUAGCGGUGAAAUGCUGAGAUAUCACGAAGAACACCGAGUGCGAAGGCAGCCUACUAGACUGCCACUGACAUGGAGGCUCGAAAGUGUGGGGAUCAAACAGGAUUAGAUACCCCAGUAGUC
RNAcentral lists this ribosomal RNA (460 nucleotides) under uncultured bacterium. RNAcentral's name for it is "partial 16S ribosomal RNA". It matches the Rfam family "Bacterial small subunit ribosomal RNA", at positions 338 to 795 of the family's 1533-position model. The record is from RNAcentral.